RNAcentral lists this ribosomal RNA (472 nucleotides) under uncultured organism. RNAcentral's name for it is "partial 16S ribosomal RNA". It matches the Rfam family "Bacterial small subunit ribosomal RNA", at positions 331 to 799 of the family's 1533-position model. The record is from RNAcentral.
GUACACUCCUACGGGAGGCAGCAGUGAGGAAUAUUGGACAAUGGGUGGAAGCCUGAUCCAGCCAUCCCGCGUGCAGGAAGACGGCCCUAUGGGUUGUAAACUGCUUUUAUCUGGGGAUAAACCUACUUACGUGUAAGUAGCUGAAGGUACCAGAAGAAUAAGCACCGGCUAACUACGUGCCAGCAGCCGCGGUAAUACGGAGGGUGCAAGCGUUAUCCGGAUUUAUUGGGUUUAAAGGGUCCGUAGGCGGACUGAUAAGUCAGUGGUGAAAUCCGACAGCUUAACUGUCGAACUGCCAUUGAUACUGUUAGUCUUGAGUAAGGUUGAAGUGGCUGGAAUAAGUAGUGUAGCGGUGAAAUGCAUAGAUAUUACUUAGAACACCAAUUGCGAAGGCAGGUCACUAAGUCUUAACUGACGCUGAUGGACGAAAGCGUGGGGAGCGAACAGGAUUAGAAACCCCAGUAGUCCCAUG